This 274-nucleotide ribosomal RNA is filed under the name uncultured bacterium. RNAcentral describes it as "partial 16S ribosomal RNA". It matches the Rfam family "Bacterial small subunit ribosomal RNA", at positions 523 to 796 of the family's 1533-position model. The record is from RNAcentral.
AUACGGAGGGUGCAAGCGUUAUUCGAAAUCACUGGGCGUAAAGGACGCGUAGGCGGGUUGGCAAGUCAGAUGUGAAAUCCUACAGCUUAACUGUAGAACUGCAUUUGAAACUGCUAACCUAGAGUAUGGGAGGGGGAGAUGGAAUUAGUGGUGUAGGGGUAAAAUCCGUAGAUAUCACUAGGAAUACCGAAAGCGAAGGCGAUCUCCUGGAACAUAACUGACGCUAAGGCGUGAAAGCGUGGGGAGCAAACAGGAUUAGAAACCCUUGUAGUCC